Molecule: long non-coding RNA, 722 nt
Filed under: Daphnia magna
Lineage: Eukaryota; Metazoa; Arthropoda; Branchiopoda; Diplostraca; Daphniidae
Description: uncharacterized LOC116921248, transcript variant X2
Source: RNAcentral
UAGUUAAUGAAUGACAACUUGACGAGAUCUCGACACGCAAGUUGGAAGUGUACGCGUGUUUGCACCUCGAUGAGCUUUGCAUAAUAACAAAGCUCCGUUGGUGAGCGUAUUGAUUAAUAAAGCUAGGUGAAGUCCUUGAGUGCCUCAAGAAGGAAUCGCCGAGCAUCGUCAUACAGUAUUUUUUCCUUCAACAAUUAAUCUUGCAUCUCCAACCGUGGAAUAAGUUACAUGUGACUCGAGACAAUCAAACAGUGCAAUUGCAACAAUAUAAUUAGUCAGCGAUAUAAAUUUGCCAUAUCUUCAUGCCAACCACAAGGAUUCUGCUUUUGCACACACCUUCAUUAUUAAUGUGUUUCUUCAGGUAUGGUCACUAUCAGCAGCUUUACACACAGUGUGCAUCGUGAAUACACCAAUCCCAGAGAAAAAAUUCCAAUGGAAAAUAUUGAGAAUUUCUGCCCUUCUAUCCUGAACUACACAAUGCUGGAUUAGACGGUACAAAAAAUUCUUCUCUCGGAAGUUUAUGACUUUGGACUUGCUUGAGAUGACCCUUGAGCCAAGAAGCUUUUCCUGCUUCGUGUGGACAGGAAUAUUAGAGGCAUUGAUGUCUGAAACCAACAAGUGUCUUGCAAAGAAAGUAAAAAGAAACACUGAUGUUGGUCAUCCUCUGAGUGAUGCUGAAGCCUGAUAAGAAGAAAGAAUAGUAUGAGUAUUUGCUGCAUCAU